UGCUUGGCAGGGGGUUGGACUCGAUGGCCCUUGUGGUCUCUUCCAACUCUAUGAUUCUAUGAUUCUAUGAUUGGCAGAAUUGGCACUAAUAAGGGUUCCACCCAUUUUGCAUUUGUAAGAAUGCAGUAUAGUCUGGCAGCAUCUACACUUUGGAACUCCCUGCCAAUUGAGAUUAAGCAGGCCCUUCACUGAACUCUUUUGGAGCCUGCAAAAAUAAAAUAAAAUAUCCUGUUCAGACAAGCCUACCUAGAUGGUUAGAAUCUGAGGUACAUUUAAUCUGUUUUAAUAUUUUAACAUGUGUAUGUUUUAAAGUAGAGUUGUGAUUUUUCUUGAUUUUGCUGUCUUAUCUUUUACAAACUGCUUUGAGGGGUUUUUAAAUAAUCAAAUGGUACAGUCAUACCUCGAGUUGAAGUUGCUUCAGGUUGAGUGUUUUCGGGUUGCGCUCCGCGGCGACCUGGAAGUAACGGAAUGCAUUAUUUCCAGGUUUCGCCGCGCAUGCGCAGACGCUCAAAAUGAUGUCAAUGUCAGCAUCACUCUUGAGCCAGUGCCACCAACUGGACUCAUCCACUUCAGCCCCGACUGGGCUAGGCGAGCUGGGUAGCACUUCCAGAGACCACCUUCUGCACAGGAACAGGUCAAAGUGCUGUGGACUCACAGCUUAGAGUUGUGAGCACCGGAUUCACUUCCACAAGAAGACAGUCGUUGCACAGCAGAGUAUAGCAGAGUACAGCAGAGCAUAAACGACUCGGAGAGCAGCUCUGUAGAUUAUCUUCUUUAUUCUAUCUACAACUAUAAUGCAACUAUAUACAGAGCUAAAUGAGGUCUAAGCAUAAAUGAAUGCUGAACUGCACUGAGUGUCUGCAGCUGCUCUUAGCAGCAACCUUAUCUACACACACAAUCUCUAACACUCAGUCUCUCUCUCUCUCUCCGACACUCACUGACUGACUGAUGUUAGGCUGGAGCGGAAUAAGUAGAGAGCAG
Non-coding RNA from Podarcis lilfordi (Lilford's wall lizard), 981 nucleotides. The record is from the annotation of a GenBank genome assembly. NCBI's taxonomy places the organism in Eukaryota, Metazoa, Chordata, Lepidosauria, Squamata, Lacertidae.